GAUGAACGCUGGCGGCGUGCCUAAUACAUGCAAGUCGAGCGAAAAGACGAGGAGCUUGCUUCUCUGACGUUAGCGGCGGACGGGUGAGUCACACGUGGAUAACCUCCCUCUAAGACUGGGAUAACUACGCGGAACCGGAGGUAAUAACGGAUAAUAUAUUGAACCACAUGAUUCAUUAGUGUAAGACGGUUUUGCUGUCACUUAUAGAUAGACCCGCGCCGCAUUAGCUAGUUGGUAAGGUAACGGCUUACCAAGGCAACGAUGCGUUGCCGACCUGAUAUGAGGAUCGGCCACACUGGACCGGUGACACGGUCCAGACUCCUCCGGUAGGCAGCAGUGGGGAAUGUUCCACAAGGGGCGAAAGCCUGAUGGGACAAAGCCGCGUCGGGGAUGAAAGGCUUCCGAUCUGAGAACUCUGUUACUAGUGAAGAACAAAUGUCUAAGUAACGAGGAACGUCUUGACGGUACCUAAUCAGAAAGCCACGGCUAACUACGUG
Molecule: ribosomal RNA, 497 nt
Filed under: uncultured bacterium
Lineage: Bacteria
Description: partial 16S ribosomal RNA
Rfam family: Bacterial small subunit ribosomal RNA
Source: RNAcentral